CGGGAGGGGCACCAGGGCCCCCCCGUCACCGAAGCCGGCUUCUGGUUGCGCGGUGCCAGGGGGGCCUCCUGUCACUUCGCCUGGUGUCGUUGGAGAAUUGCUGGACUUGCUCCAGGAUUCCAGAGUUGAUUUGUUAAUUAAAACAGUCCCAAGAGUUUAGUCUUACAGUUUCUUCCAGCCACUGGGCCUUUGCUCUCCGAGUUCCUUAGUGUUAGCUCUUUGAGGUUUGACUUUUCAUUUCUGACGUUCUUCAUAGCUCUUUUGCUGUCCCCCACGUUCUUUUCUCUUGCGCCUUUUCUCUAUGUAAACAACUCGAUCUCCCUCGAGUUGCCUUCUCUGUAGGAAACGCCAGACGCUGGCUGUUCUGCCCUGUCCACUAGAGAGAGUUGUGUUUGGGGGUUUUUUAAGUAUUUUGACUGUUCCAAUUUGAAUGCUGCUAAAAAAGCCAGGGGACAAUUCCUGUCCUGUCUAAAUGAAAACGUUUGAGAGAUGGGGUCGAGUCCGUGCAGGCUGCCUUGGUGAGCUUGGCAAUGUCCUGUGUGAAAGGCUGGAUCAAAAGCGUCAGGGCCGGCUUGGGGCUGGCCUCCUCUCACCUGGAAGCAGAAGCAGCUCAGCUGCCGCUUCUUCAUGUGCUUCUGUGUUUGUAAUUGUACAGGCAAUGGAACCAAGUACAGAGACUUGUGAAGUGGGCAUCGACGACAGGAGGUCACAACAUAGGGAAGAUUCUUAUUGCAAACCGAGGAGAAAUUGCAUGCCGAGUGAUGCGAACGGCAAAGAAGAUGGGUGUGAAGUCGGUAGCAGUUUACAGUGAAGCAGACAGGAGCUCCAUGCAUGUAGCAAUGGCAGAUGAAGCGUAUUGCAUUGGUCCAGCACCCUCACAGCAGAGUUACUUGGCCAUGGAGAAAAUAAUGCAGGUGGCCAAGGUUUCAGCAGCAGAGGCUAUUCAUCCAGGUUAUGGUUUCCUCUCAGAAAACACAGAGUUUGCAGAGUUGUGCAAGCAAGAGGGAAUCAUCUUCAUAGGUCCGCCUUCAUCUGCUAUCAGAGAUAUGGGUAUUAAGAGCACUUCCAAAGCUAUAAUGUCUGCUGCUGGCGUUCCUGUUGUUGAAGGAUAUCACGGAGAAGAUCAAUCAGACGAGUGUCUAAAGGAACAUGCUAAGAGAAUAGGAUAUCCAGUAAUGAUUAAAGCUGUUCGCGGAGGUGGAGGAAAGGGCAUGAGAAUUGCUCAUUCAGAGAAGGAGUUCCUGGACCAACUAGAAUCAGCUAGGAGAGAAGCAAGGAAGUCUUUCAAUGAUGAUGCCAUGCUGAUUGAGAAAUUUGUAGAUAAUCCGAGGCAUGUUGAAGUCCAGGUAUUUGGUGACCAGCAUGGCAAUGCAGUCUAUUUGUUUGAAAGAGACUGCAGCGUGCAGAGAAGACAUCAGAAGAUCAUUGAAGAGGCACCAGCGCCAGGAAUUAGUUCUCAAGUUCGAAAGAGACUUGGAGAAGCUGCUGUCAAAGCAGCUAAAGCAGUGAAUUAUGUGGGAGCAGGAACGGUGGAAUUUAUUAUGGACUCCCAGCAUAAUUUUUACUUCAUGGAAAUGAAUACCAGACUGCAAGUAGAGCACCCAGUUACAGAGAUGAUCACUGGAACAGACUUGGUGGAAUGGCAGCUUAGGGUUGCAGCAGGAGAGAAGAUUCCCCUAAUGCAGGAAGAGAUUCUGCUCCGGGGCCAUGCAUUUGAAGCUAGAAUAUACGCUGAAGACCCUAAUAAUAACUUCAUGCCAGGGGCCGGGCCAUUGUUGCACUUAUCCACCCCACCACCUGAUAGCUUCACCAGGAUAGAAACUGGAGUCAGACAAGGUGACGAGGUUUCUGUUCAUUAUGAUCCAAUGAUUGCAAAGCUAGUUGUUUGGGCUGAGGAUCGUCAAGCAGCACUGAGAAAACUGCGAUACAGUUUGCAUCAGUAUAACAUUGUAGGAUUGAGCACCAAUAUUGAUUUCUUACUGAGCCUGUCGGGACACCCACAGUUUGAGGCUGGAAAUGUGCACACUGAUUUCAUUCCUCAGCACCAUGAUGAACUGUUUCCAGCCAGAAAGGCAAUCCCCCAUGAAGUCAUGUGUCAGGCAGCUCUAGGACUCAUACUGAAAGAGAAAAUGCUAACAGAUGCUUUUAGAGAUCAGUCAGAUGAUAAAUUCUCACCAUUUGCAUCCAGCACCGGUAGAAGAAUAAAUAUAUGUUACACUAGAAAACUCUCUCUGCUGGAUGGGGAAAACAUUGUGGAUGUAGCUGUAAGUUACAAUCAAGAGGGGUCAUACAACAUGCAGAUUGAAGAUAAAAAGUUCCUGGUUUCUGGAGAGAUCUUCAGUGAAGGUGAUUCAUUUUACUUGAGGUCUUCAGUAAAUGGAACAGUGUAUAAGUCCAGAUUGGUCAUUUUGGACAACACCAUUUACCUCUUUUUUCCGAGAGAGGGGCCCGGGUCGUGGGACAGGAAUUCAGCCACAGCCUGCAGGAACGAACGAGGGCAUUGGUGUCCCCGGCUUCGGAGAGCGGCACUCGCCGUGACUCACGGGUCAGCCCGUCGCACCGGGUAACGUCCUGCUGGGCAGCGCGAGUGUUGCCGCACCAAAAUGACGACAGCCCUUCGUGAACUUCAGUCACCGCCCGUGGGGGUCUCCGUCUCCCUUGCGCGCUUCAGCUGCUGUCACUUACUGUAGCUGGCACCCGGUGAAGAUCUGCGGCCUGGAGCCCCAGUUCCUGCUGCAUCAGUGGCGAGGACGCGGGGAGUGGGCAGCAGGAGAGUAGGACUGCGGUCGUAUUUCGGCCACUGGCUCACCGUGACUUCAGGCAAGUCACUUGGGCGUAUCAACCAGUGAACCUGUCCACAGAAACAAAUACACCCGUGAUUGUUCUGUCCAGCCAGAUGGGGAAUUACUUGGCUGUUUUACCUGUUCUGUUUGCCGUGUAGAACGUGCGUACUGGCCCGUCACUGGCAAUGGCCUAAGGUCCGAACUUGCCGCUUUUACCCAAGGUAUGCUAUGUUCUCAACGAGAACUUUUAACUGCUUGUACAGUUCAAAAUGAUAGCGUUUUUAUGCAGGAAUGGUUCAUGGGAGAAUGCCACGUAGUAUCUCUCUGAUACCGGGAAUAGCCUUCUGCACAAGAAUUCCAUUUGGAAGGUGAUACAUGCUACCGAGUGUCAUACUAAAAAAUCAGUAUUGCAGAAAUUCAUAAUUGAAACCUUGGCGUUUAUUUUUAUGUGGGCUGAUUGUAUUCCUUGACAGAACAGAGCCUGGGCUCUAAAAGCAAUGCAGUAUCUUCUAUGAGGCAUUUCAUGUUAGCUUAAAGCCUGUUGAUUUUACGAUGAAUCCGUGUUAAAACAAACAUGGAUGUUCUGGGUGAAUACCCUGUAUUUUUUAUUACAGCAGUAAUAAGGCAGUAAAACACAUGUCUAGAGUCCUACUGGGUUUUGAAAUUAUAAUGGUGGCUGGAUUUUAGCUUUAAUCUGUUUUCCGUGUAAACAGUUCUGGUGCCAGGAGGUUGCUCUGGAAAGGAUAACUGGUCUCUGUGAAGGGCAGCCGAUCUCGCUUAAAGCAGACGUUGAUGUACAGAGCCAGCAAGGCUCCAGGGAGCAUCUGGCGAAGGAGCCUGCUGCUGGGGGCUCCAUCCCUCCUGCACCUCUCCCAAGGGAAGAGUCGGCUUAGUCUGGGUUCUAGUGUUUUGCCCGCUCAGCAGUGACCUGGGACACACAGGCAGUCGCAAAUGCUGUAUGGUAACUGCAGCCAAGGACCCCCCGUGCGCCCAGCGUCCUGUGCCAAGCAUCCCAGGAACGUAAGACAUAGCUCCUGCUCUAUGGAGUUUUAAAAUGAGACAAAAUGUGAGCUAGAAUAAACCACUUUAACAACAGAACUCCCAUAUACAUGUGGUUAAUGCAAGUUUUCCUCAAAGUUUGCUGCACCAUAUUGAUGCUGACAGCCAGUCAGGGGCAUGGAGGUUGCAGUGUGCCACUUAGCAGAAAAGUGAUACUGGCUGGGUUGCAUGGUCAUGUUCCCAAAAACUGUUAGGACAGCGUGAGGAGAGGAAAAGGGUAAAUGUGUGCAACAUGUAUGGCAAGGAGGCAAGAGUCAUCUGACUGCCCUUGCUCUGUACGUCUGCACUACGCGCGCAGUCUGCGCACCUGGAGGCAAAAGGCUCUGCCUUCUGUACAUGGGGGUUAAAUUACUGUUUCGUGCAGUAAUAGCAAAGUGGGUGCGCUGAAUGCGGACGACUUGUGUUCAUCACGUUGAGCAAUUAAAGGUGGCACAUACAGAUCCCUGUGAUAGGUAAAUAAUACUGUCUCUCAGUCUCCUCGAUUCUUGAAAUCCCCCCUAAUUCUUUGUAGUGAGGAUGGAAAGCUGUUUACAGUUCUCAGGUCUAGGUUUUAAUCACAGAAUCAUAGAUAUGAUGGCACUGUCUCGUUUAUAGCUUGGGCAAUUUCAAAUCAUUCUGCUUACAAAGAUCCUAUGUUGCUUAUGGUUCUGAACUGAAAUGUCCACAUCUCAUAAAAUCAACCGGCUAUCUCGAUGCUUAUUGCCCUCUCAUUUCUUAAUUCAUAUUACUUUAGAUGCCUUGAUUUUAGUUAAUGUAUCUCAGUCCUUCUAAGGAGUUAAAAAAAAGAAAAAAAUAGCGAAGCCUUGCAGCGUGUUGCCCGUUAGGUGUCCUGGAAAGCCUCGGUUUUUUCAGGCUCGCCAGGGUACAGUUAGGUACGCGAGACGCUCACAGACUUUCACAGGCUCCCUGACCUGACUCGUCUUCCUCUGUCACAUAAACCUGGGCUGCUCCCUGGCACCCGACCCAUGCCGUCGCGUGGAACCCAGCUCCUAACAGUGCCUGCGACUGGGCGUCCUGACUUGUGAGCCCCUUACGCAAUGCAGGAAGGAUAAAAACCUUAAUAGAGGGUGAACACCCUUCCCUGCAAGCUGACAACAGCAAUCUUCAGAUACUGGUGACGUGCCAGUUUGAAGGUUGAGUUGCUUAGACACCUACA
RNA transcript from Egretta garzetta (little egret), 4998 nucleotides. It is a transcript of the gene named methylcrotonoyl-CoA carboxylase 1, with no coding region annotated. The record is from RefSeq and is a predicted model, not a curated record. The transcript is spliced from 17 exons. NCBI's taxonomy places the organism in Eukaryota, Metazoa, Chordata, Aves, Pelecaniformes, Ardeidae.